ACAAUGACUCUCGACAACGGAUAUCUCGGCUCUUGCAUCGAUGAAGAACGUAGCGAAAUGCGAUACUUGGUGUGAAUUGCAGAAUCCCGUGAACCAUCGAGUCUUUGAACGCAAGUUGCGCCCGAAGCCAUUAGGCCGAGGGCACGCCUGCCUGGGUGUCACAC
RNAcentral lists this ribosomal RNA (164 nucleotides) under Glycine tomentella. RNAcentral's name for it is "5.8S ribosomal RNA". It matches the Rfam family "5.8S ribosomal RNA". From Rfam's summary of the family: 5.8S ribosomal RNA (5.8S rRNA) is a component of the large subunit of the eukaryotic ribosome. It is transcribed by RNA polymerase I as part of the 45S precursor that also contains 18S and 28S rRNA. Lineage: Eukaryota; Viridiplantae; Streptophyta; Magnoliopsida; Fabales; Fabaceae. The record is from RNAcentral.